GAGUUUUCCCUUCAGUUGAGGCAGGACUAGUGACACGGCUUUAGCCGCACCUGUGCUUGUUGGCACUAUGUUCAGUGCUGCGGCCCUCGCUCUCCUCAGGUCCCGGUGCGAAGCAUCCAACAGCCUCUGCACGGUUACAAUGCCAAACCGGUUUAAGCUAGAUUUCGGUAUUUCUGGCCAAAAAAGGUGUCACCUUGAAGAUAUAUACUACAAACAAUUGAGUGUACUUUGCAGUGGUUACCAUCCUAAAGAUUCGAUCUUUCUGAUCAAGGGUAUCGUUGAUAUUUACAUCCUCAUAUCAUCAUUAGACCUAUCUCUUUGGAUUACAAGGUACUUCGACAAAAGGAAACAAAGUGACGUAGCAAAAUCUUUUGUGUCGUUCAAAUGAGACCAACCAAUCGAAUUACAUAACUUGUGAAACCAUGAGUCCAUGACAAAAUAUUAAGUAACAAGUUAUAAGUAACUUGGGCACAAAGUUAAGUAAGUUACUAUAACGAUCGACUUAAUACCUGAUCUCCGGUGUAGGAGUGAGUGGUAGUCAUGGUUCCCUUGACAAUGCCUGCAAAAUUAAUCAAUCACUACUGAUUAGUACCUGAAACUAACGCUUUCCUAUCAGUCUUUCUUGGUUAAGAGGUCGUUUAGAUGAGUUAUUUUGAUGAAAAUAACUCGCUUGACAUCUAACACAAAAUAUGUGGCAUUUCGAACCGUAGUAUAUUAUUUCAAAUAACUCACUUACGAGUUAUUUCAGAUAUCUAGUCUAAAUAACUCGGUUGACAUUCAAAACAAAAUUUGUGGCAUUUGAAAUAACCGAUUUUCCAGUUAUCAAAUUAGUCAAACAAGAUAAUUCCCACACACAAACCAUUUGCACCUUAUAAAUCCUACAUUCUCAACUUCUACAUCAAUGUGCUCCAAAAUACCACACAUCCAAACAACCCAUAAGAACAAAUGCUAGCUUCAGUUGGGAGUCGGCUUACCGAAUUCCUCGUCGAUGACUUUGACGAAAGGAGCCAGACAGUUUGUUGUGCAAGAAGCAUUGCUGGGAAGCAUCAAUGUGGAAAAAUUAGCCAGGCAUCAUAUUUCAAGCAUAAAUGUUGCUGAAUGGGGGAGAAAGCUCCAUUUGAAAGAUGAGAUAAAAACCCAACCUGACAAUAUCGGCAACAUCAUGGCCGUAAUCCUUUUCAUUAACACCAAGGACAUAGGUCGGAAUGUCAGCACCUUUAGCAGGAGCAGUGAUGAUAACCUUCUUCGCACCGGCUUGAAUGUGUUUUCCAGCGCCCGGUCCAUCCACGAAGACUCCCGUUCCCUCAAUGACAAUGUCGAUUCCAAGCUCGGCCCAUGGAAGCUUAAGGGGAUCCCUGCUGGAGACAACUUUGAUGAGCUUCCCAUCAACGCUGAU
RNAcentral lists this long non-coding RNA (1396 nucleotides) under Linum usitatissimum (flax). Its description in RNAcentral is "long non-coding RNA (LUSI_LNC003565)". Lineage: Eukaryota; Viridiplantae; Streptophyta; Magnoliopsida; Malpighiales; Linaceae. The record is from RNAcentral.